UCCUCACAACGUAUGCCUAUCUCCGUCAUGC
Molecule: non-coding RNA, 31 nt
Filed under: Homo sapiens (human)
Lineage: Eukaryota; Metazoa; Chordata; Mammalia; Primates; Hominidae
Source: RNAcentral